This 360-nucleotide ribosomal RNA is filed under the name Triticum aestivum (bread wheat). Its description in RNAcentral is "partial small subunit ribosomal RNA". Lineage: Eukaryota; Viridiplantae; Streptophyta; Magnoliopsida; Poales; Poaceae. The record is from RNAcentral.
AUGAGGUCUCUGCAGGCUGUGCUCGUGGCGGUCCUCGUCCUGCUCGCCGUCGCCGCGACGACGGACGCUGCCUGGGCGCCGAUACCGGACCGCGACCUGAACGGCAUGGUGGUGCAGCAGGCGGGCCGGUUCGCCGUGCUCGUGCAUGACAUCACGCGCCGGACGACCCUGGUGUUCGUCAAGGUGGAGCGCGGCGAGAUGGAGCGGCCGGCGGGCGGCGGCCUCGGUACCAACUACCGGCUCGUGGUGACCGCGGCGAGGGCGCCCGGCGGGAGCAGGGGCCGGUACGAGUGCGUCGUGUGGGGCGUGCCCGGCUCGCGCACCAGCACCUGGAAGCUCCUCGGCUUCAAGGCGCUCUAG